ACCAGCAGCUAGCUCUCUGCAACUUUCACAUGGUCGCCCACUGAAACCAAGUAGGGUUGCGCCUGGUCAGUACCUGGAUGGGAGACCACAUGGGAAAACUAGGUUGCUGCAGGAA
This is a ribosomal RNA of Danio rerio (zebrafish), 115 nucleotides long. Lineage: Eukaryota; Metazoa; Chordata; Actinopteri; Cypriniformes; Danionidae. The record is from Ensembl.